GCUCGAGGUUCCACCUUGUGCGGGGUCUCGAGAACUUUAAAAGCUCAGGUCCCGCUCAUUGCGCCUGCGUGGCCCGGCCCCUCCGGUGCCCACCUGAGUCCCACUGGGCAGCCGGGGUGUGGGUGGUUUCCGCAGCCAGGAAACUGAGUCUUGGUCCCCUCCGAGCCCUGCACGGGGUGUGUGUGUGUUCGUGUGUGUGAUAAACCGAGAGCGAGGGCGGGCCGCUCAUCCCUAAAUUAGUGCCCUGGUGCAUGUGGGCGCCAGCGCUGCCAAGAGAAAGUCCCGUUGUGCCCGCCGUCCUAGGCUGCCCCUGAGCUCUAACUCCUAACUUUUGGGGCGCCAGGGGUGAAAGCUGGAGGCAGUACAAGCACAGGGGCUGAUUUGCAGCAGUUUUCGGCCUCUUUAUUUAGAACCAGUGGACGAGGAGCCGGGCAGUGGUGCAGACGGCUCAGGAACCAUUUUAAAAAAAACAGAUUUGUCUUCAAGUUUAAAAUAAUCAUAAUAGUAAAAGAGACAGCGGCCUUGAAGAGACUACAAGCUAGAUGGGCUUGUACGGCAGCUACAGCUUGAGUGACCCACUCCCCUAGAAUACGCUAUAAAAAUAAAUUUACAUUUGUUGAUAACCAGAUGCGAGUGAGGUGCCUUUGGCAUAACCAAUAACCGAGCUGCGGGUAACAAGCUGACCGCCUCGACAUAAAUAGAAAAUAUAAGUUAGUAUAAUUUUAAAACUUUUGUACAAAUAUACAGGUUUUUUCUUUUUCCUUUUUUUUGUCUUUUUCAUUUUUUUGCACUGAGUUUCAGCAGAGAUUAAACAUUUUAUAUAAAUGACUCUUAAAGCUUUACACCUUGGGACCAGUGUACUCCUUGGGCAGAAUACAUUUAGAUAUAAAAGACGUUAUUAAUACAUUGCACAGUUGUCAAACUUUAAACGAAACCGAACGCUGCUCGCGGCAGCUGCCGCGGGUUGCUGCUACAUGGACGGUCCCAGCCGAGGCCCAGCGCUCCUCUCCUGUCCACUGCCCAACGG
Molecule: long non-coding RNA, 1027 nt
Filed under: Bos grunniens (domestic yak)
Lineage: Eukaryota; Metazoa; Chordata; Mammalia; Artiodactyla; Bovidae
Description: lncRNA (ENSBGRG00000014958.1)
Source: RNAcentral